RNAcentral lists this unclassified non-coding RNA (252 nucleotides) under uncultured Gammaproteobacteria bacterium. RNAcentral describes it as "contains 16S-23S intergenic spacer region". It matches the Rfam family "Bacterial small subunit ribosomal RNA", at positions 524 to 776 of the family's 1533-position model. Lineage: Bacteria; Pseudomonadati; Pseudomonadota; Gammaproteobacteria. The record is from RNAcentral.
UACGGAGGUGCGAGCGUUAAUCGGAAUCACUGGGCGUAAAGCGCGCGUAGGUGGUUUUGUAAGUCGGGUGUGAAAGCCCUGGGCUUAACCUGGGAAUUGCAUUCGAUACUGCAUAACUAGAGUAUGGUAGAGGGAAGUGGAAUUUCCGGUGUAGCGGUGAAAUGCGUAGAUAUCGGAAGGAACACCAGUGGCGAAGGCGACUUCCUGGGCCAAUACUGACACUGAGGUGCGAAAGCGUGGGGAGCAAACAGG